RNAcentral lists this ribosomal RNA (492 nucleotides) under uncultured bacterium. RNAcentral describes it as "partial 16S ribosomal RNA". It matches the Rfam family "Bacterial small subunit ribosomal RNA", at positions 29 to 507 of the family's 1533-position model. The record is from RNAcentral.
AGUGAACGCUGGCGGUAGGCCUAACACAUGCAAGUCGAACGGCAGCACAGUAAGAGCUUGCUCUUACGGGUGGCGAGUGGCGGACGGGUGAGGAAUACAUCGGAAUCUACUUUUUCGUGGGGGAUAACGUAGGGAAACUUACGCUAAUACCGCAUACGACCUACGGGUGAAAGCAGGGGAUCUUCGGACCUUGCGCGGUUGAAUGAGCCGAUGUGGUGUUAGCUAGUUGGCGGGGUAAAGGCCCGCCAAGGCGACGAUCCGUAGCUGGUCUGAGAGGAUGAUCAGCCACACUGGAACUGAGACACGGUCCAGACUCCUACGGGAGGCAGCAGUGGGGAAUAUUGGACAAUGGGCGCAAGCCUGAUCCAGCCAUACCGCGUGGGUGAAGAAGGCCUUCGGGUUGUAAAGCCCUUUUGUUGGGAAAGAAAAGCAGCAGGUUAAUACCCCGCUGUUCUGACGGUACCCAAAGAAUAAGCACCGGCUAACUUCGUG